Molecule: ribosomal RNA, 267 nt
Filed under: uncultured bacterium
Lineage: Bacteria
Description: partial 16S ribosomal RNA
Rfam family: Bacterial small subunit ribosomal RNA
Source: RNAcentral
GUCCACGCCGUAAACGAUGAGUACUAGGUGCUGUGGGUAUUGACCCCCGCGGUGCCGAAGCUAACGCAUUAAGCACUCCGCCUGGGAAGUACGGUCGCAAGACUAAAACUCAAAGGAAUUGGCGGGGGCCCGCACAAGCGGUGGAGCAUGUGGUUUAAUUCGACGCAACGCGCAGAACCUUACCUGGGCUGGAAAGUGUUCGGAAGUCUGGUGAAAGCUGGAUGUGCCCGCAAGGGAACCGAGUGACAGGUGCUGCAUGGCUGUCGU